UGAGUACCGUGUCUACACGCAGGAGCUGCUGCAGGUUGGCGAUCGGGUGUCUGUGAUUCUCCUGCUGCCGCCCUGUGAGGAGUUCAGAUCCCGUCAGCGUCCAGCAGCGGGAGCUCAGCACACCUUCACCGUCCCGAUGCACUACUUUGAGCUCGUGCACUUGUGGGCGUAUGAGCGGGAUCUGCUGUCUCAGUACUGUCAGCUGUGGCUCAGACUGGAGCUGGACGUCCGUCUUUCCCAGCAGGCUUUGAGAGAAGCACUGGACACUGAAGAGCUGCAGGAGGCUACGGAGAGACUCGCACACAUCACACAGCUGGCACAGAGUCUGUCUGCGCUUUGGAGCGAGAGCCGCUGGCUGAUGGACGUCAUUCAGACGCUGCGCUCCAAACACUCGGAGGGGGCGGUGCCUCUGGGGCGAGUCAUGACCUCACAACCGCCAAUCAGAUCAGCCGCCGAUGAGGACACGCCCCCUGCUUUACAUACGGUAGAACAGAUGCAAACAGCAGAGGUCAUGGGGUCAGAGGUCAGCGCACCUUUGGAGGUCACAGAUGGGGUCACGUGUCCGGAGACGCCCACCUCACACUACAUCGAUGAGCCCCGUUCCCAUGGAAACAGCACUCGUCGCCAUGGAAACAGCCUCCGGCAGAUGCACUCAUGUCCUGAACUCAGUGAUCCGGCUGCCUCACAUCCCAUAAUGCCUGCGGACGAAGGUCAGGAGCUGCUGACGGAGAUGAUGGACCUGUUCCAGAGCCUGGAUCUGCUGGGAGGCAGUCUGACAGACCUGCAGGAGCUGGACUGGAGCGAUCCAGAACCGGAUCUGCAGGACCAGGAUGACAGGAUGGAAG
This 845-nucleotide long non-coding RNA is filed under the name Sinocyclocheilus grahami. RNAcentral describes it as "lncRNA (ENSSGRG00000044034.1)". The record is from RNAcentral. Lineage: Eukaryota; Metazoa; Chordata; Actinopteri; Cypriniformes; Cyprinidae.